CUACGGGGGGCUGCAGGCGAGAAAACUUUGCAAUGUGCGAAAGCACGACAAGGUUAAUCCGAGUGGUUUCUGCUAAAGGAACCUUUUGUCGGUCCUAGAAACACCGAUGAAUAAGGGGUGGGCAAGUUCUGGUGUCAGCCGCCGCGGUAAAACCAGCACCUCAAGUGGUCAGGAUGAUUAUUGGGCCUAAAGCAUCCGUAGCCGGCUCUGUAAGUUUUCGGUUAAAUCUGUACGCUUAACGUACAGGCUGCCGGGAAUACUGCAUAGCUAGGGAGUGGGAGAGGUAGACGGUACUCGGUAGGAAGGGGUAAAAUCCUUUGAUCUAUUGAUGACCACCUGUGGCGAAGGCGGUCUACCAGAACACGCCCGACGGUGAGGGAUGAAAGCUGGGGGAGCAAACCGGAUUAGAUACCCUGGUAGUC
Molecule: ribosomal RNA, 422 nt
Filed under: uncultured archaeon
Lineage: Archaea
Description: partial 16S ribosomal RNA
Rfam family: Archaeal small subunit ribosomal RNA
Source: RNAcentral